GCGUAUAUUAAAGUUGUUGCAGUUAAAAAGCUCGUAGUUGGAUUUCGGAAGGUCCUUAGCAGUCCGCCCCUUCGGGGAGCGGGCUGCUGGCCUCCUAUGUUCCUAACGGUCCUCAUCCGCGAGGGUGGGGAAUCAACCGCUAGGAUCGUUUACUUUGAGGAAAUUAGAGUGUUCAAAGCAGGCGUAACUCGCCUCCGAAUACGUUAGCAUGGGAUAAUGGAAUACGACUUCGGUCUUGUUUCGUUGGUUUCGCUUGGCUGAAGUAAUGAUUGAUAGGGACAGUUGGGGGCAUUAGUAUUUAGUUGUCAGAGGUGAAAUUCUAGGAUUUACUAAAGACUGACCAAUGCGAAAGCAUUUGCCAAGGAUGUUUUCAUUAAUCAAGAACGAAAGUAGGGGGAUCGAAGACGAUCAGAUACCGUCGUAGUCUCUACCGUAAACUAUGCCGACCAGGGAUCCGGAGAGUUUGCAUGGAUGACUCCCCGGGCACCUUGUGAGAAAUCAUAAGUGUUUGGGUUUUGGGGGGAGUAUGGUCGCAAGGCUGAAACUUAAAGGAAUUGACGGAAGGGCACCACCAGGAGUGGAACCUGCGGCUUAAUUUGACUCAACACGGGGAAACUUACGAGGUCAGGACACUGUGAGGAUUGACAGAUUGA
RNAcentral lists this ribosomal RNA (653 nucleotides) under Vermamoeba vermiformis. RNAcentral describes it as "SSU rRNA". It matches the Rfam family "Eukaryotic small subunit ribosomal RNA", at positions 597 to 1251 of the family's 1831-position model. Lineage: Eukaryota; Tubulinea; Echinamoebida; Vermamoebidae. The record is from RNAcentral.